AUUGAACGCUGGCGGCAGGCCUAACACAUGCAAGUCGAUCGAGCGGCGGACGGGUGAGUAAUGUCUGGGAAACUGCCUGAUGGAGGGGGAUAACUACUGGAAACGGUAGCUAAUACCGCAUACCAUCGGAUGUGCCCAGAUGGGAUUAGCUAGUAGGUGGGGUAAAGGCUCACCUAGGCGACGAUCCCUAGCUGGUCGGAGAGGAUGACCAGCCACACUGGAUCUGAUACACGGUCCAGACUCCUACGGGAGGGAGCAGUGGAGAAUAUUGCACAAUGGGCGCAAGCCGGGUGCAGCCAUGCCGAGUGGAUGAAGCAGGCCUUCGGGUUGGAGAGUGAUUUCAGCGGGGGGGCGUUACCCGCAGAAGAAGCACCGGCUAACUCCGUGCCAGCAGCCGCGGUAAUUC
Molecule: ribosomal RNA, 406 nt
Filed under: uncultured bacterium
Lineage: Bacteria
Description: partial 16S ribosomal RNA
Rfam family: Bacterial small subunit ribosomal RNA
Source: RNAcentral